RNAcentral lists this ribosomal RNA (253 nucleotides) under uncultured bacterium. Its description in RNAcentral is "partial 16S ribosomal RNA". It matches the Rfam family "Bacterial small subunit ribosomal RNA", at positions 524 to 776 of the family's 1533-position model. The record is from RNAcentral.
UACGUAGGUGACAAGCGUUGUCCGGAUUUACUGGGCGUAAAGAGCGCGCAGGCGGUCGUUCAAGUCGAGGGUGAAAGCCCCCGGCUCAACUGGGGAGGGUCACUCGAUACUGAUCGACUCGAAGGCAGGAGAGGGAAGUGGAAUUCCCGGUGUAGUGGUGAAAUGCGUAGAUAUCGGGAGGAACACCAGUGGCGAAGGCGACUUCCUGACCUGUUCUUGACGCUGAGGCGCGAAAGCUAGGGGAGCAAACGGG